Molecule: ribosomal RNA, 467 nt
Filed under: uncultured bacterium
Lineage: Bacteria
Description: partial 16S ribosomal RNA
Rfam family: Bacterial small subunit ribosomal RNA
Source: RNAcentral
GAUGAACGCUGACAGCAUGCUUAACACAUGCAAGUCAACUUGAAUUUGGGUUUUUAACUUCGGUUUGGGUGGCGGACGGGUGUGUAACGCGUAAAGAACUUGCCUCACAGCUAGGGACAACAUUUGGAAACGAAUGCUAAUACCUAAUAUUAUGAUAAUAGGGCAUCCUAUAAUUAUGAAAGCUAUAAGCGCUGUGAGAGAGCUUUGCGUCCCAUUAGCUAGUUGGAGAGGUAACGGCUCACCAAGGCGAUGAUGGGUAGCCGGCCUGAGAGGGUGAUCGGCCACAAGGGGACUGAGACACGGCCCUUACUCCUACGGGAGGCAGCAGUGGGGAAUAUUGGACAAUGGACCGAGAGUCUGAUCCAGCAAUUCUGUGUGCACGAUGAAGUUUUUCGGAAUGUAAAGUGCUUUCAGUUGGGAAGAAACAAAUGACGGUACCAACAGAAGAAGUGACGGCUAAAUACGUG